This 88-nucleotide non-coding RNA is filed under the name Elusimicrobiota bacterium. Its description in RNAcentral is "Elusimicrobia bacterium c-di-GMP sequence". It matches the Rfam family "c-di-GMP-I riboswitch aptamer". Rfam says of the family: GEMM was predicted in a large-scale screen for bacterial structured RNA regulatory elements. Genes associated with GEMM are involved in a diverse array of functions, including chemotaxis regulation, signal transduction, secretion and chitin. The record is from RNAcentral. Lineage: Bacteria; Pseudomonadati; Elusimicrobiota.
ACGAUAAAUUGGCAAACCCGCCGAAAGGCGGGGACGCAAAGCCACGGGGCUAAAGAUAGGGGCUAUCCACGCUAGCCGGGCUGCCGAA